GAAUCGCAUGGCCUUGUGCCGGCGAUGCUUCAUUCAAAUAUCUGCCCUAUCAACUUUGAUGGUAGGAUAGAGGCCUACCAUGGUUGCAACGGGUAACGGGGAAUAAGGGUUCGAUUCCGGAGAGGGAGCCUGAGAAACGGCUACCACAUCCAAGGAAGGCAGCAGGCGCGCAAAUUACCCAAUCCCGACACGGGGAGGUAGUGACAAUAAAUAACAAUAUAGGGCCUUACAGGUCUUAUAAUUGGAAUGAGUACAAUUUGAAUCCCUUAACGAGGAACAAUUGGAGGGCAAGUCUGGUGCCAGCAGCCGCGGUAAUUCCAGCUCCAAUAGCGUAUAUUAAAGUUGUUGCAGUUAAAAAGCUCGUAGUUGAAUUUCAGGCCCUGGCCGAUCGGUCCGCUUCACGGCGUGCACUGUUUCGAUUGGGCCUUCCUUUCUUGGU
RNAcentral lists this ribosomal RNA (439 nucleotides) under uncultured eukaryote. RNAcentral's name for it is "SSU rRNA". It matches the Rfam family "Eukaryotic small subunit ribosomal RNA", at positions 266 to 706 of the family's 1831-position model. The record is from RNAcentral.